This 429-nucleotide ribosomal RNA is filed under the name Libinia ferreirae. RNAcentral's name for it is "partial 16S ribosomal RNA". It matches the Rfam family "Bacterial large subunit ribosomal RNA", at positions 1948 to 2578 of the family's 2925-position model. The record is from RNAcentral. Lineage: Eukaryota; Metazoa; Arthropoda; Malacostraca; Decapoda; Majidae.
GUGCAAAGGUAGCAUAAUCAUUAGUUUUUUAAUUGAAAACUUGUAUGAAAGGUUGAACAAAAGAAGUUCUGUCUCUAUUUUUAAUAUUGAAUUUAACUUUUAAGUGAAAAGGCUUAAAUUUUUUAAGGGGACGAUAAGACCCUAUAAAGCUUUAUAAAAAAUAUAAUAAUUUUUAAAAAUAAUUUGUAUUUUGGAAUAUAUUUGUUUUUUAUUUUGUUGGGGCGAUUCGGAUAAAAUUAUAAUUAACUGUCAGUAUAAAACACAUAGAUUUAUGUAAAUUUAAAUGAUCCUAGUUAAAGAUUAAAAGACAAAGUUACUUUAGGGAUAACAGCGUUAUUUCUUUUAAGAGUUCUUAUUGAAAAAGAAGUUUGCGACCUCGAUGUUGAAUUAAAAUAUCUUUACAGUGCAGCCGUUGUAGGAAGAGGGUCU